Molecule: non-coding RNA, 279 nt
Organism: Podarcis lilfordi (Lilford's wall lizard)
Lineage: Eukaryota; Metazoa; Chordata; Lepidosauria; Squamata; Lacertidae
Source: the annotation of a GenBank genome assembly
GGAUGUGAGGGCGAUCUGGCUGCAACAUCUGUCACCCCAUUGAUUGCCAGGGUUGAUUUGGCUGAUCUGGCUGGCUAGGCAGGUGUCCCCUUCCUCCCUCACCGCUCCACGUGCGUCCCUCCCGAAGCUGCGCGCUCGGUGGAAGAGGACGACCAUCCCAGAUAGAAGGAGUGUACCGUUCUUCGGUCAAGGGUAUACGAUAGCUGCGCUCCCCUGCUAGAACCUCCAAACAAGCACUAUGCAUAACUCAGGAAAAAGCUAGUACAGUUGUACCUUGGU